This 360-nucleotide long non-coding RNA is filed under the name Parus major (Great Tit). RNAcentral's name for it is "lncRNA (ENSPMJG00000016783.1)". The record is from RNAcentral. Lineage: Eukaryota; Metazoa; Chordata; Aves; Passeriformes; Paridae.
AUGGCUGGGGCAGGAUGGAUGCAACCAGUCCUCACCAAGCCUGCAAGCCCCAGCACCUCCAUGAGCCUCUCAGCAGGACUGGAGAGGGACAAGAGCAGGCAGAGGGACCUGCCCGGGGACCAAGUGGAGAGCCCGGCAUCUCUAGAGGACCAGCCUUUCAGCAGCAACAGCCUCUACCCCAUGGGUCAGUUUAUUCAGAACGGCUCUGCAGUAAUGGGAUUAAGAAGCUCUUCACUGCUUGGAUCACUUCUCAGUGGGAAGAUCCAAAAUCAACUGAUGGAAAACAGGAUAAUUCCUCCUGCAGAGGGAGCAGGAUUGUUUGUGGAACCAAAUGAUCAAACACAUGCUGACAGGCAGUAA